Xiphophorus maculatus (southern platyfish) is the source of this 1698-nucleotide long non-coding RNA. RefSeq lists it as uncharacterized. The transcript has 4 exons. The record is from RefSeq and is a predicted model, not a curated record. Lineage: Eukaryota; Metazoa; Chordata; Actinopteri; Cyprinodontiformes; Poeciliidae.
AAAUGAGUUUAUAUCAAGUCAGUUUUUUGUUUCAGAAAAUGUUUGCAGGAUUCUUUUGGACCUUCCAACUGUUGCUGGUUCUGAACCGGGAUGAAUCUUUGACUGGACUCGCUUCACGUUCAGCUCCUGCAGUGAAAUCAGAUGUUUCAGGCGUCACCAGAUUUCAGUUUUAAUCUGACAGAAACCCGAGACCCGGAUCGCUGCAGUCGGCCCGGUUCUGAGCAGGAAUGCAGGGAGCCGUCGGAGCGUGACGAAGCAGCGGACUGGGUCAGGAGGGUCGGUCCCGGCGGGUCUGAGCAGGUCCAGGAGCCGCCGCCGGAUCGCGGGCGAUGACGGCAGGCAGUUCUGCUGUUUGCUCAGCCAAAGAAUCUGUUCUGUCAACAGAGAGCUGAUGGGGGGGUCGCGGCCCCGGGGGCCAGGCCCCUGGGAGGCUCCUGGGAGGUCAGACCCCUGGGAGGCUGGGCUCCUGGGAGGGCAGGACUGGGGCCCCCGCAUCAACCGCAAAUAAAGGUGAAGCAGCUGAUAGGACGAACAAAGGCUGCAGUUUAUGACAGGAAACCAUGAAGAGCUGCAAACAGCCGGGGACCUCACCCUGAGAGUGUGCACGUGAGAGUGUGCACGUGAGAGUGUGCACGUGAGCGUGUGCACGUGCCAGCAGCCCUCUGGUGGGCAGAUGAACUUUAUGGGUCAAGGUUAACAAGAAGGAUUUAACUGUAGGCUGGAUCCUGAUUUACUGCAAACACCAGUUAUAUUUUAUCAGAGUGAAGAGACCAGAACCAGAACCAGAACCAGAACCAGAAUCAGAACCGCUCUGCAGCUGGCUGCUGUUUCAGCAUUAAUGACUGAAACUGCAGCUUCAGCGUUCGCCACAGAACAGAGCAGAAAACCAAAUUCAGACAUGAAAUGUUCUUCAGGUCAAGCAGAACGCUUCUCUUCCUGUUGGGAUCAAACAGCAACAGGAAGCAGAACUCGGGUCGAGCAGAACCUCCAGGAUAAAAACAAACCCAACAGCUGAAACGUGAUCCGACUGAGAGGAAACCGGGACAUGAGACACCUGAAGGCAGAAGGUCCUAUUUAAAGCAAGGGAGGGAAAACCUCUCCAGCCCACAGGAAGGAGUCGUUUCCAACAAAAACAGUUUCAGUUCCUCAGACGGAUCAGGAAGCCCGCUCAGAUCAGAACCAGAACCUCUGAGGAGGUCCGGAAGAAACGGCACCAGGUCUGAAACCAGGAAUGAAACGGCAUCAGGUCUGAAACCAGGCAUGAAACGGCACCAGGAGGAAACCUGACGGCUCCUGAUUGACCUCCAGUAAUUGAAGCUCUUGGUCGUUUUUACAGAAACAGGUCAGAACCGGAUCAGAACCGGUCGGGUCAGAACCGGUUUGACAUCAGGUGGUGCAGGUUGUCAGAUCGGCGGAGCGUCCAGAGAGAAUCUGAUCGUCACACGUUAACAGGACGAGGUCCGGUCCACAUGGCAACACCCAGAGAACUUGGAGCAGAACCCUGGAUCAUUCAGGUCAAAGGUCACAUGCAAUCCAGUCAGAGAGACGCCUGUCCUGCUACAAACUGUGAAAGAUGAAGAUGAGGAUGAGGAUGAGGUCACCUCCAGAUUCUGUUUGAUAAACAGACCAGCAGGCGCUCUGAUUGGACGGGAAACAGCAGCAACGAUUCAGCAGCAACGGUUCAGCAGCAACGAUUCA